GACGAACGCUGGCGGCGUGCCUAAUACAUGCAAGUAGAACGCUGAAGAGAGGAGCUUGCUCUUCUUGGAUGAGUUGCGAACGGGUGAGUAACGCGUAGGUAACCUGCCUUGUAGCGGGGGAUAACUAUUGGAGACGAUAGCUAAUACCGCAUAACAAUGGAUGACACAUGUCAUUUAUUUGAAAGGGGCAAUUGCUCCACUACAAGAUGGACCUGCGUUGUAUUAGCUAGUAGGUGAGGUAAUGGCUCACCUAGGCGACGAUACAUAGCCGACCUGAGAGGGUGAUCGGCCACACUGGGACUGAGACACGGCCCAGACUCCUACGGGAGGCAGCAGUAGGGAAUCUUCGGCAAUGGGGGCAACCCUGACCGAGCAACGCCGCGUGAGUGAGGAAGGUUUUCGGAUCGUAAAGCUCUGUUGUAAGUCAAGAACGGGUGUGAGAGUGGAAAGUUCACACUGUGACGGUAGCUUACCAGAAAGGGACGGCUAACUACGUG
This 497-nucleotide ribosomal RNA is filed under the name uncultured bacterium. RNAcentral's name for it is "partial 16S ribosomal RNA". It matches the Rfam family "Bacterial small subunit ribosomal RNA", at positions 28 to 507 of the family's 1533-position model. The record is from RNAcentral.